UCCGAGUUGACCCCGGCAGUCUCCUAUGAGUCCCCGCCAUAACGCGCUGGCAACAUAGAACGAGGGUUGCGCUCGUUGCGGGACUUAACCCAACAUCUCACGACACGAGCUGACGACAACCAUGCACCACCUGUGCAGGACCCUUGCGGACCCGACGUUUCUGCCGGAUUUCCCUGCAUGUCAAGCCUUGGUAAGGUUCUUCGCGUUGCAUCGAAUUAAGCCACAUGCUCCGCCGCUUGUGCGGGCCCCCGUCAAUUCCUUUGAGUUUUAGCCUUGCGGCCGUACUCCCCAGGCGGGGCGCUUAAUGCGUUAGCUGCGGCACGGACCCCGUGGAAGGGAACCCACACCUAGCGCCCAACGUUUACGGCGUGGACUAC
This 377-nucleotide unclassified non-coding RNA is filed under the name uncultured Frankiales bacterium. RNAcentral describes it as "contains 16S-23S intergenic spacer region". The record is from RNAcentral. Lineage: Bacteria; Bacillati; Actinomycetota; Actinomycetes; Frankiales.